Molecule: ribosomal RNA, 497 nt
Filed under: uncultured bacterium
Lineage: Bacteria
Description: partial 16S ribosomal RNA
Rfam family: Bacterial small subunit ribosomal RNA
Source: RNAcentral
GAUGAACGCUGGCGGCGUGCCUAAUACAUGCAAGUCGAGCGAACGGACGAGAAGCUUGCUUCUCUGAUGUUAGCGGCGGACGGGUGAGUAUCACGUGGAUAACCUACCUAUAAGACUGGGAUAACUUCGGGAAACCGGAGCUAAUACCGGAUGAUAUUUUGAACCGCAUGGUUCAAAAGUGAAAGACGGUCUUGCUGUCACUUAUAGAUGGAUCCGUGCUGCAUUAGCUAGUUGGUAAGGUAAUGGCUUACCAAGGCAACGAUGCAUAGCCGACCUGAGAGGGUGAUCGGCCACACUGGAACUGAGACACGGUCCAGACUCCUACGGGAGGCAGCAGUAGGGAAUCUUCCGCAAUGGGCGAAAGCCUGACGGAGCAACGCCGCGUGAGUGAUGAAGGUCUUCGGAUCGUAAAACUCUGUUAUUAGGGAAGAACAUAUGUGUAAGUAACUGUGCACAUCUUGACGGUACCUAAUCAGAAAGCCACGGCUAACUACGUG